Amphiprion ocellaris (clown anemonefish) is the source of this 7455-nucleotide long non-coding RNA. RefSeq lists it as uncharacterized. The transcript has 2 exons. The record is from RefSeq and is a predicted model, not a curated record. Lineage: Eukaryota; Metazoa; Chordata; Actinopteri; Pomacentridae.
AAGGGAAGGAAACUGUAACAGAUUAUUGAUACCGUCACACUACCACUACAACUGCACAAAUCAGUCUUGCAGUCUGCCAGAUUACAGUUCAGCAGCUAUCUAUCAAUAUUCCAGUAGAUCUUGGUUCAGUCAGUCCAUCUGCUUGUCAGUCGCAGAGUUCCUGCUCUGAAGAUUUUCCCCUUGAUUGUCCCAUCAGUCACAGCAGGGCUGCAGAGUGGUUGAAGUGAUAGAUUAGAAAAGUAGCUGUUCGUGUUGAUUGAUCAGUGUAAUGGUGGAGCUAUCACUGUGGCAAAUUGGACAUGCAUGAUACUGACUGGUUAUCAAGUUUGUUCUCAGAAGGCUAUGUUAGAAGUUUGUUCAAGAGAUGAAGGAUAUCCCAAAUGCUGAGGUAUUCAGAAAAUUUGGAAUCAUUCUCAUUAUGACUAUAACAGCUGUUUCACUCUUGUUUUUGAAAAUCCUGAGGUAAACUCAAGCAGAUCAGUUACUGGGAUGAAAGAGCUUCUGAAGAACAUUUGAAAGAGCUAUAAACUUGAAUGAAGUCCAAAUGUUAAAAACACAGAGGAACAUCUUUCAAAUCUAGGAAAUACAUGAUGAUGUGGAGCCUGACAGGCAUCAACAUCAGCAUUAUGGUACGUUGUUAAUUGAAGAAAGAUAAGCAAAAAUAAUAUAAAAAUAAUAAGGAUUCAGUUAGUAGUUCAACAGUAUUUUCUACCCUCUUUCUAAAAAUCUCCUUACUGUUUAUCAAUCACUGAAGCUGGAUUCUUUUCUCCAGUUCCUGUUGAUGGCUUUUUUAAUGUAAAUUACAUUGUCAAGGCCGUCACGAAUGCUACACCAUAUUCUAUUGAAAUAAAAUGUGAGUUUUUCUUUUUAUGAGGAAUAGUUUUUGAUUUCAGCAGUAAUCCUGCUUUUACAUGCUAAACAUGGAAGUUAUGAGCUAUAAAAAUCCCUGAUGUGGUUCUCAUUCUAUAUCUGCAGUAUCUACAAAAAGGGUUCAGUGGCAUUUCAUCAAAUUUGGAUCCACCAGCGAGUCUUUUCAAUGAAUGUAAUUCCUUUCAUAUCCCGUAUUGGACCUAUUUAGGUUUAUCUUUGAGCAGCAAAAGUCACAAAAGUCAUUACUUGUAAAACUUAAGAUUGAUCAUUAAAUGCUUAUUUUACCACCCACAAUAACUGUGUUUUGUGCACUACUUUUUACUUACAAAAUAGGACAGGGUAUGUAAUAAAUUUGUCAGACUCUGAGCUGCCACCUCUUAAACCCAGCCCCAGUCAGCAUACAAAUAAGAAGAUAGGAUGGGUAAGGCCCACAUUAUACUAUUCACAUCCACAAGGGUUUGCAUGUGGGACGUGAUGUCCAUGAGAGUAAGUGCAAACCUCCUCAGACAUCCACUUGUAGGCCAAAAUUUAUGUCCUAAUACUACACAUGUGCAGAAAACAUACAAACCAGCUAGUGCAUAUGUGUGGAAUGGAGUACUCUAAGCACUCUCGCAGACUAGAAAAGUGGUGUAAUAGCAAGAUCUACGUAUCCAUGGUGUCCACAGCUGUUCGUGUGUACAUCCACAAGAGAGAAUAGUCAAGGCAUAGAAAAGUAGACUUUACUUGGAUGGAAGCACCUCCAGCAUUUGACACUGGAAAUAGCAACAGAGUUGUCAUUGCAGUUAUUCCAAUAAGGUGACAGUAGCUCAUUGCAUCUGUAACUGCAGCUCUACUGUGUUGGUGCGAUGGGGAGGAAAUGAAGCUACUGGAACUUCUACGAGUAACAAGUCCAGCACUAGCUGUCAUUUUCAUCCUGUCCACUUGGCUUCUUUCAUCUUUUGCAGAUUACACCAUUUAUAUUGUCAUAUCCAUGACACCAGCUUCUGCUUUACUCCCAUCAUAUCCGUCACUCAAAUCCGUGUCUCUCCUCAAGAUGCUGUCCCUCAUCUGCAUGUCUGUUGUUUGAAGUUUACCAUCUGAUCGUAGUCUGUCUUUCCUCUGUCAUAUCCGUCACUCCAACCCCAGUCUCCUCCCUAGCCUCUGUUCCUCAUCUGUCAUGUCUUUUGUGUAGCAUCUAUUCGCUACGCCACAUUCUAUAAACAACCAUUUUCUCCUAUCAUGUCAUCUCUCCAGGGUCUGGUUUUUUGUUUUUUUUUGAGGCCUUUCUGCCUUCUGUGCCUCCAUGGCUGUAUCCGUCUCAUUUGCAACUCUAACCCCAUUCUCCCCUCUAGGCAGACAUCCUACCACGCCCCCAUUUUGUCCGUUACACCAAACAACUCUCGCCUCCAGGUCGAUCAUCUGCCUUUGAACUGUCACACCUGUUACUUUUUGCUUCUCUCCCCUCUGCCUCUUUCUGCUGUGUGGGUGCUCAGCCUCUCAGAUGGAUAUGCAAUUGUGAGUCAGAGCGGGUGCUGUGCUGAAUAUUAAAUCUGAAGCCCAGACAGACGUUUCUUCCUCGACAGAAUCUGUUUAUCUCGGAGUCACCACCAUCUCCGGUGCUGCAGGCUGCUUUUGCUCGCCCCUUCUCGUGUCUCGCGGCUGUUUGAUUCUGUUGACAACAGCUGCCUGAUGAUGGGAGAGUGGCAAUUACAUUUGCAAUGUGUUAUUCCCACCCCUAGCUUAUCCCCCUUGCCAAACACUGCUUCGUCCAAAACAGCCUUUCUUUGAGCUGCUUCAUAUCUGAUAGUCAAUGUGGGUGUCACUUUGGAUGACAUUUAUUGCUGAUUUUCUUCCCAUGUUGCAAAUUAAAAGCUAUGCCUUGACUCAUCCCAAAGAGACACUUGAGACAAAAAGUGAAAGUUUUCUAAAUAAAAUUCUGGUCUCUUGGCCUCCCUGUCUUUUUUUUUUUUUUUUUUUUUUACUCACCACUUCCGUUGCAGUGAUUAUGGAAAUAUGUAGAAUGCAGAAUCCUACACACCAUCCUAUGCAAAAAAAAAUUACAUUUAACAGACACAAUUUAAAACACUUAAAAGGUAACAAAGAGUAUUCCCCUAAAAAUACUGAUAGCCACUCAUGUCUCCCUUAUGGUGUUGCACUUCAGGGAAACUACAGUGCGUACAUUGUUAUGUUUUUAAAACUCACAGACACGAACUAUCUCUUCACAUUUACUACUGCAGGGGUAUUCAACUAAAAUUCAAAGAGGUCCAGUCAGAGACAAUUUAUUAAAGCAAAGGUUCCGAACAUCAUAAAGUCUAACUUGAAUUAGUGUGAUAUAUGUUGAUGUAACCUAGUAGUUUUUCUUAGUUUUUAUUAUAACUUUUGUUAUAACUGUAUAUCUUAAAAUAAAGUGCAGAACUUGAAAAAAUUAAUGACUGAACAACCUGAACCAACUUCUAUACAUCUUUAACAAUACUAAAUCUCAAAAAAUUUAAACAAUCGAACACUUUCACAUUUUUCCCUGUCUUAAACCACUCCCCUUAUAUCCUCUGCUGCUUAAUGGGAGAACUGAGCUGCAGCUUCCCCUGCCUGUAUUUUGAAUCGUGGCCUGGAUGGUGUCAGGGACGCUCUCAAACACAUUUGGAGCUCAUUGGUGAGUCUGGAACGAGAUUUUGUCAGAGGUGGGUAGUAACGAGUUACAUUUAUUUGAGUAACUUUUCAAAAAAAAUGCACUUCUAGUAGUAGUUUAGUAGUUCUAGUAGUUGUACUCUGCCAUACUUUUUACUUUUACUUGAGUAGCUUUGUGAAGAAGAACUGCUUCUCUGUUACACUGGACUACACUCAAGUCGUUACUUUUUUAUUUACCACAUUAAGGCUGGAAUAUACUUUCCGCACGAACGAGCCGCACGGAAAUCAGCUGCACGGAAAUCCGUUCGAGAGAACGUGUGUGCAUUUAUACUCCAUGCGGCGUCUGCUCCCAAACUGCAGGGGGCAGUGUAUUGCAAACACAUGUCUACCUGGUCUACUCUAGUACUAAACUAGAGAAGAAGAAGUUUGCCAUUGUUUACACCACUUACAACACGGCAUUUUACCUAAUAAAAGCAUUUCAGCAGUUAGUUUUAAUUUCACACCAUGAAUACUUCAUAACCCGGUUACCACGGUGAUCUCUGUGUGAUGAAUCGUUUAAGUGCACGUAUUUCUAGACUUCAGCUAGGAGUAGGUCCUGGCCUUCUGCCAUGUUUUUCCGCGCGGCUCCGUCCGCGUUGGUUAGAAAAAUGUGGAGGUGCGUGGAGCGGAAAUUUUCCGCACGGAAAGGCCGCUCGAGGGGGCGUGGGUGCGAAAAUGACGUAAUUUUUCCUCACGGAGCCGCACGGACCUUGCAGACGCAGCAAGCAUAAAACAAGCUUAAGAUAUGCUUUAUUUUGCCAGACAGAUGCCCCCAGUGGAUCUACAACAUGAUUGUGUUUCACCAAUCAGAUGAAGCAACAAUAAUCACAUGACUCUGUUUCACCAGAGGUAGCCCCUGCAGUCACAUGACCACAUACAGACUGUGGCCCGCAUAGCAACACAAACUCUUCUCACGUAGCAGACACACAGGGAAUGAAAAAACACAAGAAAAAUGACAGAGGCUACUGUUUCCAGUGCUAGAACUGAAGAGGAUGAACACCCAUGGCCUCAUAUACAAAGCAUGUUUUGUGUACACCCAGUGCAAAAGAACAGCUACAUAAUGUGGUGUCUUCUGUGUCUGCCAAAACAAACCAACAUUUCAGCAUACAAAAACUCAACGUCUAACCUGAGGAAACAUAGUGCGGCCUUGUCUUCGUCACACAUCACUCUUAGACACAGAUGGGGAUGAUGUCAACACCAGCAGCAGCAGCCUCUCUGAGGAAAAUUACUUCUUUGGAUCCAUGGGGACUUUUUAGUCAUGCAGGACUACUGUACACUGCCAAACAGUUAUAGCUUCGUGGCAAGAACCUUUAGAGCCAACUAAUGCUGAAGCUUAACUGUCACUUCACCAAGUGAAGAAGAAGCAGGUUUUGAUCAAACAUGCACAGAUGCAGACACACACACACACACACACACACACACACACACACACACACACACACACACACACACACACACACACACACACACACACACACACACACACACACACACACAGUUUAAAGCAAAGAGAGACUUGUAUGUGCAUAAGCUGCCUUGUUGUAAUGUUAUUUUCUAUCUACUGAGCCUGUGCUAUUUGGAGGGAAGUGAAAUACAGUAUACAGUAUAUCUUUUCACUGGAAGUAGUUUGCACUGUUCAAACAUAAAAAUGUUACCUUACUACAGGUAUUUGUUUCAAAAGCUUUAGUUGUGAAAAACAGAUUUGGAAAUUUGUGUUUCUUGUGCCUUAACAUGUCAUUUUGUAAAGAUGUUAUUUAUUUUUGCUAUUUUUUUAUUUUAUGAUUUGGAAAUACCAGAAUUUGCACAUUAUUUUACAUCUUUUUCGGACUGAUCACAUCAUUUCUAAAAAAUAAAUUGGACAUUACAAUCAAACACUUAUUCAGUACUUGAGCAGUCUUUUCACCAAACACUUUUUUACUUUUACUUGACUGAUUGUUUGGAUUACUACUUGCUACUUCUACGUGAGUGAUAUUAUUUUGAAGUAACGUUACUCUCCCUUGAGUACAAUUUUUGGCUACUCACCUCUGGAUUUAGUUUUGAUUAUGUUCAUAGUUGAAAAAGCUUCUUCCUCUCAGUGUUGCUUUAUUCAUUUUUCUUUUUUGUCUGUCCCUCACCUCUCAACUGUUUUCUGAACGCAGAGCUGCAAUGUUUAGUGGCUGCAGAGACUUUAUUGGCUGAGUAGCAUCACUUGAGAUGGCUGAAUUCGUACGUAAUUGGUCUGCGUGUUUCCUGAGCUGAUAACCAAUGCCGUAAACACUGGAAAAGCUGCGCUGGUAAGAUAAAAGCGACCCAUCAAAUUUAAAAUCCCAUUACAAUUUACUGAUUACAGGUCCAGAUCCGUAUAAGAUGGUUUCUGGGUCCAGAUCCAGACUGCGGUCCGCCAGUUAGUAACCCCUGUAUGACUGCUUCUGCAGCAUUUUUGUUGGAUGUUGUGUUUGAGAUAAUUUCUACAAAAGUAUAAUUUUCUUGAGAAAUCAACAUGUCACCACUGAAAAUUUUGUUCUUGUAUUACCAAGUCCCUCUGUAAGGUGUGGUGACUAAGAUGGGCUAGUGGAUAAAGAUAUAAAAACAAGAAACAGUUUGAUAAAUUCCAGAAAGCAACUUUCCUAUGCAAAAACGCAAGGCAGGUGAAAGGUGAGGUUAGUGUGUGGAGGAACAGGCUUGUCGGACAUUUCAGACUUUCUGUUUCCAUUGUGGUGAAGGGUCCAACAGCUUUGACUGCGAUGUCAACAAAUAGCAGUUAGUGGAUGCAGCUGUAGUUUUAUGGGCAUGUAGGAAAUGGAACAAUGGAGGGUUUGUUAUGUUUUGAUGCUGAUGUUCAACAGAAGGCUCAACAAGGGCAUGGGGAGGGCAGAAAAAAUGGUGCUUUCUGUCAUCUCUGAGUUUAAUCCAAUCAGCAUCGAGACCCGCACAGCAGUUUCUCAGUGUUGCUCAGAGGUAUCCACCCCGCAGUCAGUACUUUUUUCUCCCUUGACAAUGGAACCUGAAAAUGGUCCUACAUGGACGGUUCUCACAGAACACGCACAAAUGUCGGGCUGCCCCAAAAUAAUCUGCAAGUUCCUGCAGAGAAAAAUGCCCAAGUGUUUUAUUUUUCCGUUACAGUGAAGAAGUGGUUGUUCAUUGUAAUCAUUCCCCCUCUGCAUGCUGCUCAUGAAGUGAUCCAUUCUAAUGUGAUUCCAGAGAUGGUUGUCAAAAUAUGCACUCUUUUUUUUACAUUUCAACACAAUCUAUAAUAGCUCUUUUUUAGGUGGUUUUUAGUCAAAUCCAAUGGGAAUUUUCUAAAAUUACUAUAUUUUUAGUACAAAAUUCCAUUUUUGUGUGACUAUACCACCUUUAAAUACUAGGGUUAGGGUUAGGGUUAGCAUGAUUUUGAGCUAUUAUGCAAAAUCCUGAACCCUAACCUGCAGCUUACUGUAAGUACCUCUCGAUGUCAGCAUCUGCUGUACGAGUAAAUCAUAUUUUGUGAUUCCAACAGUUACAUUCACACUAUUUAGCACCAACCCAGCAGUGAUAAAAAUGUGCAGGAGAACUCCAAUCUAAGCUGCUAUCAAACCGAUGAAUACCCCUGUGGUGAAUUAAAAGUUCUACAGAGUUUGUCAGUAAAUAGUUGCACUUUCUCAGACUAUAUAUCUGCUGCAGAAGUGUAAAAUACAAGCUUUUUUUGUAUAACUUUCUAUUAAGUUUCUUGCCUGCCAAGGCUUACUGUUUGUACUUCGGUCAGUGGAAAUGUCUCUGAAAGGAUGCUGUGAUAGGCUGCCUCUAUGUUGUCAUUCUUCAUUGGUAUUCUGUACACAGAAAGUAUUGAGUGCAGAGGUUCUUCCAACCUUCCACUAGCUUUUCUCCUCUAGGUCUCCCCCCUACCUGUUACAACAGUGGUUUGCAAUACCAAUCAGUAACCCAUUUCUCUACUUUAUGAAUAAAUAUAUAUUUUUAAAGACAGUA